RNAcentral lists this ribosomal RNA (743 nucleotides) under marine metagenome. RNAcentral describes it as "bacterial SSU rRNA". It matches the Rfam family "Bacterial small subunit ribosomal RNA", at positions 767 to 1520 of the family's 1533-position model. The record is from RNAcentral.
AGCAAACAGGAUUAGAUACCCUGGUAGUCCACGCUGUAAACGAUGGACGCUAGGUGUGUGGGGGGCUCAACCCCCCUGCGUGCCGGAGCUAACGCGGUAAGCGUCCCGCCUGGGGACUACGGUCGCAAGACUAAAACUCAAAGGAAUUGACGGGUGCCCGCACAAGCAGCGGAGCGUGUGGUUCAAUUCGAGGCUACGCGAAGAACCUUACCGGGGUUUGACAUCACGCAGCUAUCCCGCGAAAUCGGGAGUUCCUUCGGGACUGCGUGACAGGUGCUGCAUGGCUGUCGUCAGCUCGUGCCGUGAGGUGUUGGGUUAAGUCCCGCAACGAGCGCAACCCUCGUCGCUAGUUGGAUUUUUCUAGCGAGACUGCCGCGGACAACGCGGAGGAAGGUGGGGAUGAUGUCAAGUCCGCAUGGCCCUUAUGCCCCGGGCUACACACACGCUACAAUGGCCAGUACAACGGGCAGCGACCUGGCGACAGGAAGCUAAUCCCUUAAAGCUGGUCUCAGUCCAGAUUGCAGGCUGCAACUCGCCUGCAUGAAGUCGGAGUUGCUAGUAACCGCAGGUCAGCACACUGCGGUGAAUACGUUCCCGGGCGUUGUACACACCGCCCGUCACGCCAUGAAAGUCGGUAACACCUGAAGCCGGUACGCCAACCGUUCGCGGAGGCAGCUGUCGAGGGUGGGACUGGCGAUUGGGGCGAAGUCGUAACAAGGUAGCCGUAGCGGAAGCUGCGGCUG